ACGGGAGGCAGCAGUGGGGAAUAUUGCACAAUGGGCGCAAGCCUGAUGCAGCGACGCCGCGUGAGCGAAGAAGUAUUUCGGUAUGUAAAGCUCUAUCAGCAGGGAAGAUCAUGACGGUACCUGACUAAGAAGCACCGGCUAAAUACGUGCCAGCAGCCGCGGUAAUACGUACGGUGCAAGCGUUAUCCGGAUUUACUGGGUGUAAAGGGAGCGUAGGCGGUCUAGCAAGUCUGAUGUGAAAACCCGGGGCUCAACUUCGGGAUUGCAUUGGAAACUGUCAGACUAGAGUGUCGGAGGGGUAAGUGGAAUUCCUAGUGUAGCGGUGAGAUGCGUAGAUAUUAGGAGGAACACCAGUGGCGAAGGCGGCUUACUGGACGAUUACUGACGCUGAGGCUCGAAAGCGUGGGGAGCAAACAGGAUUAGAUACCCUGGUA
RNAcentral lists this ribosomal RNA (434 nucleotides) under uncultured Pseudobutyrivibrio sp. RNAcentral's name for it is "partial 16S ribosomal RNA". It matches the Rfam family "Bacterial small subunit ribosomal RNA", at positions 341 to 792 of the family's 1533-position model. Lineage: Bacteria; Bacillati; Bacillota; Clostridia; Lachnospirales; Lachnospiraceae. The record is from RNAcentral.